AAUCUGUUGUGUGAACAUUUUUGAAUCAACAUUUUGAAGCAUUCCUAUGCCUCAUAAAAACUUUUUCCUUCCAUAUGUAUAAAGACAACAAUCUCUUUUCUUAGCUC
Gossypium hirsutum (cotton) is the source of this 107-nucleotide non-coding RNA. The record is from Rfam. Lineage: Eukaryota; Viridiplantae; Streptophyta; Magnoliopsida; Malvales; Malvaceae.